This 597-nucleotide ribosomal RNA is filed under the name uncultured bacterium. RNAcentral's name for it is "bacterial SSU rRNA". It matches the Rfam family "Bacterial small subunit ribosomal RNA", at positions 112 to 704 of the family's 1533-position model. The record is from RNAcentral.
AAUACUUAGGAAUCUGCCCAUUAAUGGGGGACAACAGUUGGAAACGACUGCUAAUACCGCAUACGCCCUACGGGGGAAGGCAGGGGAUCUUCGGACCUUGCGUUAAUGGAUGAGCCUAAGUCGGAUUAGCUAGUUGGUGGGGUAAAGGCCUACCAAGGCGACGAUCUGUAGCGGGUCUGAGAGGAUGAUCCGCCACACUGGGACUGAGACACGGCCCAGACUCCUACGGGAGGCAGCAGUGGGGAAUAUUGGACAAUGGGGGGAACCCUGAUCCAGCCAUGCCGCGUGUGUGAAGAAGGCCUUUUGGUUGUAAAGCACUUUAAGCGAGGAGGAGGCUACUAGUAUUAAUACUACUGGAUAGUGGACGUUACUCGCAGAAUAAGCACCGGCUAACUCUGUGCCAGCAGCCGCGGUAAUACAGAGGGUGCGAGCGUUAAUCGGAUUUACUGGGCGUAAAGCGUGCGUAGGUGGCCAAUUAAGUCAAAUGUGAAAUCCCCGAGCUUAACUUGGGAAUUGCAUUCGAUACUGGUUGGCUAGAGUAUGGGAGAGGAUGGUAGAAUUCCAGGUGUAGCGGUGAAAUGCGUAGAGAUCUGGAGG